This 394-nucleotide ribosomal RNA is filed under the name uncultured bacterium. RNAcentral describes it as "bacterial SSU rRNA". It matches the Rfam family "Bacterial small subunit ribosomal RNA", at positions 28 to 428 of the family's 1533-position model. The record is from RNAcentral.
GACGAACGCUGGCGGCGUGCUUAACACAUGCAAGUCGAGCGGUAAGGCCCUUUCGGGGUACGACGAGCGGCGAACGGGUGAGUAACACGUGGGUGACCUGCCCUUAGCUCUGGGAUAAGCCUGGGAAACUGGGUCUAAUACCGGAUAUGACUCCAUGACGCAUGUUGUGGGGUGGAAAGCCUUGUGCGGCUAGGGAUGGGCCCGCGGCCUAUCAGCUUGUUGGUGGGGUGAUGGCCACCAAGGCGACGACGGGUAGCCGGCCUGAGAGGGCGACCGGCCACACUGGGACUGAGACACGGCCCAGACUCCUACGGGAGGCAGCAGUGGGGAAUCUUGCGCAAUGGGCGAAAGCCUGACGCAGCGACGCCGCGUGAGGGAUGACGGCCUGGUGUAA